CCAGGAAGGGAUCGGAGGACAUGAGACCACCAUUUAAAGCUCACGAUCUUAGGAUGGUCCUUGAUUCAUCGGAGAGUUUAAAUUCGCCCAUGCCACAUAGGAUAGGGACCACAAUGCAUAACCUAAAACCUACGAGAAUACCAUUACAUGCAGAUGAGAUCGUUCAAGAUACGAUAUUGUUGCAGAUGAGAUUGCAUGUAGAGUAGGAUUCUUGGAUGUAUUAGUUCUGAAUCGUAUAUUGGAUCCUAUUACCCACAAGCAGCUUAUGAUACAUAUGGAUAUGGUGCGUCUGAGGCAUUAUCUUCCAGUAGAUACUAUCCUACGCCACCUAAAGCACCUAAUGAAUCAAAUUUUCAUGCUAGCAAUUCAGAUGGGUUCCCCCACAAUUGCAGUAUUGCACAUAUGACUCUUCCUAAAGACAAAGCCAUAGUACAUAGAGCAGUUUUUCAGGAUGCAUACCUUAUGGGAUGAGUAUACAGGACUAAGAUGCCAUAUAGUUGGAGAAUUGGUGUAAUGCACCUCAUGGAUAUGAAAAUGAUCUUGACAUCU
Molecule: long non-coding RNA, 549 nt
Filed under: Phoenix dactylifera (date palm)
Lineage: Eukaryota; Viridiplantae; Streptophyta; Magnoliopsida; Arecales; Arecaceae
Description: long non-coding RNA (PDAC_LNC004465)
Source: RNAcentral